CUGCAUGUUGCACCCCGGGCUUCUCUGAAGUAUGCGAUGAUGAAAAAAGCCCCAAUGCUCGUGCUAUAUUUAUGCUGUUUAGUGUUGCAGGUUUGCUUAGUUUCUUUAACAGCUUAUUUGUGUCAAAAUAACGGCCAGAUUU
Molecule: small nucleolar RNA, 142 nt
Organism: Papaver somniferum (opium poppy)
Lineage: Eukaryota; Viridiplantae; Streptophyta; Magnoliopsida; Ranunculales; Papaveraceae
Product: small nucleolar RNA snoR134
Exons: 1
Source: RefSeq, a predicted model, not a curated record